GCCAGGCACAGUGGCUCAUGCCUGUAACCCCAACAACAUGGGAGGCUGAGACAGGAGGAUCACGAGUUCAAAGCCAGUCUCAGCAAAAGUGAAGUGCAACCGAGUGAGACCCUGUCUCUA
RNAcentral lists this small RNA (120 nucleotides) under Marmota monax (woodchuck). Lineage: Eukaryota; Metazoa; Chordata; Mammalia; Rodentia; Sciuridae. The record is from RNAcentral.